This 253-nucleotide ribosomal RNA is filed under the name uncultured bacterium. RNAcentral describes it as "partial 16S ribosomal RNA". It matches the Rfam family "Bacterial small subunit ribosomal RNA", at positions 524 to 776 of the family's 1533-position model. The record is from RNAcentral.
UACGUAGGGAGCAAGCGUUGUCCGGAAUCAUUGGGCGUAAAGCGCGUGUAGGCGGUUACAUAAGUCUGUUGUGAAAGUCGGAGGCUCAACCUUCGAAAGCCGAUGGAUACUGUGUGACUUGAGUACGGAAGAGGAGAGUGGAAUUCCUGGUGUAGCGGUGAAAUGCGCAGAUAUCAGGAGGAACACCAACGGCGAAGGCAGCUCUCUGGGACGUUACUGACGCUGAGACGCGAAAGCGUGGGGAGCGAACAGG